UUAGCCGUGGCUUUCUGAUUAGGUACGUCAAGAUGUGCACAGUUACUUACACAUUUGUUCUUCCCUAAUAACAGAGUUUUACGAGCCGAAACCCUUCAUCACUCACGCGGCGUUGCUCCGUCAGGCUUUCGCCCAUUGCGGAAGAUUCCCUACUGCUGCCUCCCGUAGGAGUCUGGACCGUGUCUCAGUUCCAGUGUGGCCGAUCACCCUCUCAGGUCGGCUACGUAUCGUCGCCUUGGUAAGCCGUUACCUUACCAACUAGCUAAUACGGCGCGGGUCCAUCUAUAAGUGAUAGCAAAACCAUCUUUCACUUUAGAACCAUGCGGUUCUAAAUGUUAUCCGGUAUUAGCUCCGGUUUCCCGAAGUUAUCCCAGUCUUAUAGGUAGGUUACCCACGUGUUACUCACCCGUCCGCCGCUAACUUCAAAGGAGCAAGCUCCUUAUCUGUUCGCUCGACUUGCAUGUAUUAGGCACGCCGCCAGCGUUCAUCCUGAGCCAGGAUCAAACUCCUAA
RNAcentral lists this ribosomal RNA (512 nucleotides) under Staphylococcus xylosus. RNAcentral describes it as "partial 16S ribosomal RNA". Lineage: Bacteria; Bacillati; Bacillota; Bacilli; Caryophanales; Staphylococcaceae. The record is from RNAcentral.